This 500-nucleotide ribosomal RNA is filed under the name uncultured bacterium. RNAcentral describes it as "partial 16S ribosomal RNA". It matches the Rfam family "Bacterial small subunit ribosomal RNA", at positions 30 to 523 of the family's 1533-position model. The record is from RNAcentral.
AUUGAACGCUGGCGGCAGGCCUAACACAUGCAAGUCGAGCGGAUGAGAGGAGCUUGCUCUUCGAUUCAGCGGCGGUCGGGUGAGUAAUGCCUAGGAAUCUGCCCAGUAGUGGGGGACAACGUUUCGAAAGGAACGCUAAUACCGCAUACGUCCUACGGGAGAAAGUGGGGGAUCUUCGGACCUCACGCUAUUGGAUGAGCCUAGGUCGGAUUAGCUAGUUGGCAGGGUAAAGGCCUACCAAGGCGACGAUCCGUAACUGGUCUGAGAGGAUGAUCAGUCACACUGGAACUGAGACACGGUCCAGACUCCUACGGGAGGCAGCAGUGGUGAAUAUUGGACAAUGGGCGCAAGCCUGAUCCAGCCAUGCCGCGUGUGUGAAGAAGGCCCUCGGGUCGUAAAGCACUUUAAGUUGGGAGGAAGGGCUUACAGCGAAUACCUGUGAGUUUUGACGUUACCGACAGAAUAAGCACCGGCUAACUUCGUGCCAGCCGCCGCAGUAA